GAAGGUGUGUCGUGAGGCAUGCUGGAGGUAUCAGAAGUGCGAAUGCUGACAUAAGUAACGAUAAUGCGGGUGAAAAACCCGCACGCCGGAAGACCAAGGGUUCCUGUCCAACGUUAAUCGGGGCAGGGUGAGUCGACCCCUAAGGCGAGGCCGAAAGGCGUAGUCGAUGGGAAACGGGUUAAUAUUCCCGUACCUGGUGUUACUGCGAAGGGGGGACGGAGAAGGCUAUGUUGGCCGGGCGACGGUUGUCCCGGUUUAAGCGUGCAGGUGUGUGUUCCAGGAAAAUCCGGUUCACUUUAACACUGAGGCGUGACGACGAGGCACUACGGUGCUGAAGCAACAAAUGCCCUGCUUCCAGGAAAAGCCUCUAAGCCUCAGGUAACAUCAGAUCGUACCCGAAACCGACACAGGUGGUCAGGUAGAGAAUACCAAGGCGCUUGAGAGAACCCGGGUGAAGGAACUAGGCAAAAUGGUGCCGUAACUUCGGGAGAAGGCACGCUGACACGUAGGUGAAGCGGUUUACCCGUGGAGCUGAAGUCAGUCGAAGAUACCAGCUGGCUGCAACUGUUUAUUAAAAACACAGCACUGUGCAAACACGAAAGUGGACGUAUACGGUGUGACGCCUGCCCGGUGCCGGAAGGUUAAUUGAUGGGGUCAGCGCAAGCGAAGCUCCUGAUCGAAGCCCCGGUAAACGGCGGCCGUAACUAUAACGGUCCUAAGGUAGCGAAAUUCCUUGUCGGGUAAGUUCCGACCUGCACGAAUGGCGUAAUGAUGGCCAGGCUGUCUCCACCCGGGACUCAGUGAAAUUGAACUCGCUGUGAAGAUGCAGUGUACCCGCGGCAAGACGGAAAGACCCCGUGAACCUUUACUAUAGCUUGACACUGAACACUGGUCCUUGAUGUGCAGGAUAGGUGGGAGGCUUUGAAGUGUGGACGCCAGUCUGCAUGGAGCCGUCCUUGAAAUACCACCCUUUAAUGGCUGGUGUUCUAACGUAGACCCGUGAACCGGGUUGCGGACAGUGUCUGGUGGGUAGUUUGACUGGGGCGGUCUCCUCCUAAAGCGUAACGGAGGAGCACGAAGGUUGGCUAAUCCUGGUCGGACAUCAGGAGGUUAGUGCAAUGGCAUAAGCCAGCUUGACUGCGAGCGUGACGGCGCGAGCAGGUGCGAAAGCAGGUCAUAGUGAUCCGGUGGUUCUGAAUGGAAGGGCCAUCGCUCAACGGAUAAAAGGUACUCCGGGGAUAACAGGCUGAUACCGCCCAAGAGUUCAUAUCGACGGCGGUGUUUGGCACCUCGAUGUCGGCUCAUCACAUCCUGGGGCUGAAGUAGGUCCCAAGGGUAUGGCUGUUCGCCAUUUAAAGUGGUACGCGAGCUGGGUUUAGAACGUCGUGAGACAGUUCGGUCCCUAUCUGCCGUGGGCGCUGGAGAACUGAGGGGGGCUGCUCCUAGUACGAGAGGACCGGAGUGGACGCAUCACUGGUGUUCGGGUUGUCAUGCCAAUGGCACUGCCCGGUAGCUAAAUGCGGAAGAGAUAAGUGCUGAAAGCAUCUAAGCACGAAACUUGCCCCGAGAUGAGUUCUCCCUGAGACUACAAGUCUCCUGAAGGAACGUUGAAGACGACGACGUUGAUAGGCCGGGUGUGUAAGCGCAGCGAUGCGUUGAGCUAACCGGUACUAAUGAACCGUGAGGCUUAACCUU
This 1695-nucleotide ribosomal RNA is filed under the name Salmonella enterica. RNAcentral's name for it is "partial 23S ribosomal RNA". It matches the Rfam family "Bacterial large subunit ribosomal RNA", at positions 1252 to 2925 of the family's 2925-position model. Lineage: Bacteria; Pseudomonadati; Pseudomonadota; Gammaproteobacteria; Enterobacterales; Enterobacteriaceae. The record is from RNAcentral.